RNAcentral lists this ribosomal RNA (142 nucleotides) under Actinomycetota bacterium. RNAcentral describes it as "Actinobacteria bacterium partial 16S ribosomal RNA". It matches the Rfam family "Bacterial small subunit ribosomal RNA", at positions 1 to 142 of the family's 1533-position model. Lineage: Bacteria; Bacillati; Actinomycetota. The record is from RNAcentral.
UUCUAUGGAGAGUUUGAUCCUGGCUCAGGACGAACGCUGGCGGCGUGCUUUACACAUGCAAGUCGAGCGAUGAGAUCCCUUCGGGGAUGGAUUAGCGGCGAACGGGUGAGGAACACGUGAGGAAUCUGCCUUCAACACUGGG